GUUCUCACUUUGGCAGCACAUAUACUAAAAUUGGAAUGAUACAGAGAAGAUUAGCAUGGCCCCUGUGCAAGGAUAACAUGCAAAUAAUCACAAGCUUAGCACUUUACU
Small nuclear RNA from Ochotona princeps (American pika), 108 nucleotides. NCBI's taxonomy places the organism in Eukaryota, Metazoa, Chordata, Mammalia, Lagomorpha, Ochotonidae. The record is from Ensembl.